This is an RNA transcript of Diospyros lotus (date-plum), 2844 nucleotides long. It is a transcript of the gene named plant UBX domain-containing protein 2, with no coding region annotated. Lineage: Eukaryota; Viridiplantae; Streptophyta; Magnoliopsida; Ericales; Ebenaceae. The transcript is spliced from 4 exons. The record is from RefSeq and is a predicted model, not a curated record.
UUGAGAGUUGCAGGAAAUGGAUAUCAAAACAGAAGGAAAGAAAGAAAAAUAGUGCCAACUGCCAACCGCGCCAAUGGCAUCCUCUCUUUGAGAGAUUUUGUAAUUUCUUCUUCGAUCUUAGCGCCAGUUUCACCUUCGAUUUCUCAGUCACCACUUUCUUCUCUUCACAUUCCAAAUUCUCCCUAAAUCCCCUUCUUUCCAAUCCCCCGACUGAAAUCCCGUUUUCUUUUCCCUAUUCUCCGAUUCAGCUUCCGAGCUCCAAGGUUCCGAGUUUUUGAUCCGAUUCUUCGUAUUUCAUUUGGAAUUGGUUCUAGGGUUUUGAUCUGUCCAAUGGAUGAUGUGAAGGAUAAGGUCAAGGGCUUCAUGAAGAAGGUCAAUAAACCAUUUUCAUCGUCUUCUUCGGGCAAGUUCAAGGGCCAAGGCCGAGUCUUGGGUUCGUCUUCUUCUUCCGAGCCGGCCAAUCCGAUUCUAGCUCGGCCUUAUCUGACUCAUCCCGUUUCGAAGCCGAGUCAGCCCGCCAAGCCCUCGCCUCAGGAGCCACUCAAUUUGGAUCAUCAAGCGGCGAAUAGGCCUCCUGUUGUGAGUGAUCCGCACUGGAACUCAGAAACGGCAAAUGCGUUUGAUCCGUAUGGUUCUUUGAUCACUUCUGGGAAGAGAAACAAGAUGGGGUAUUCUCCGCAAGUGUUUGAAUGUCCGGUUUGUGGCCGGGCUUUCGGAUCUGAAGAAGAGGUGUCUGAUCAUGUUGACAGCUGUUUGAAUACUGCGCAAGCGGAUAAUGUCGAUGGUGAUGGAGAAUUGGUCGAAAAGGAUGGUGCUGCUGAGUCUAGAAGUGGAUUGGAGUCUUGUGUUGGUGUAUAUGUUUCUGGGAAGCCUUCAGAAGGCUCAGUUGAGAUUGUGAUCAAGUUACUGAGGAAUGUGGUAAAGGAACCGGAAAAUGCCAAGUUUCGGAGGGUUCGGAUGGGGAAUCCGAAGAUAAGGGAGGCCAUUGGUGAAGUUGCAGGAGGUGUGGAGUUGUUGGAAUGUGUUGGAUUUGGACUUCAAGAGGAAAAUGGGGAGAUGUGGGCAGUGAUGGAAGCUCCUUCCAACGAGGGAAUACUUUUAAUCAAGAAGGCAAUAUCAUUGUUGGAAUCACAAAAGGUUGAAAAAUCUGUUUCUGCAGCGCCAUCUAAGAGUGAUGAACCAGUUGAGCUGAGGAGGGUUGAAGAAUCGGUUUCUGCAGCCCCAUCUAAUAUUGAUGAAUCAGUUGAGCCAAGGAAGGUUGAUAGACAGGUUCGGGUAUUCUUCUCUGUCCCUGAAAGCAUAGCAGCUAAAAUUGAGCUGCCAGAAUCAUUUUAUAAUCUCUCACUUCAAGAGGUCAAAAGAGAAGCUGAUACGAGGAGGAAAAAGAUGGAAGAAUCGCAGCUUUUGAUUCCCAAGUCAUAUAAGGAGAAGCAGGCAAAAGCUGCAAGGAAGAGAUACACAAAAACUGUUAUCCGGGUUCAGUUUCCUGAUGGAGUGGUGCUUCAAGGUGUCUUCUCUCCUGGGGAGCCAACUACUGCUCUUUAUGAGGCCUAGCAAUGUUGUCCCAUUGCAAGAUCACACUCUACCCUAUUUUGUGACCCGAGAGAUCAAGUGCAAUUCAUCUGGAAGAUAUGUUUACUACAACAAAAUCGAGCAGUGCCUUUGAAGCACCAAUUAUAGCAACUGUUAACAGGGAGAACAAAAGCACUACUUCAACUAGAGAAUUGCAGAACAUCCAAGCAGCCUAUAAGCUAAAUGGUAAGAACUAUUUGAAGUGGUCUUAGCUGGUGCGUACAUUCCUGAAAGGAAAAGACAAGUUGAGCCAUUUACUCGAUACUAGACCCAAAAAAGAGGACUCUACAUUUGAAGCUUGGGAUGAAGAAGAUUUUAUGGUAAUGUCUUGGUUAUGGAAUUCAAUGCUUCCAAAGAUAAGUGAUAUUGUUAUGUUCUUAAGCACAACUCAAGAAAUUUGAGAUGCAAUCAAACAAAUUUAUUCUAAAUUUCGAGAUGCAGGCCAAAUCUAUGAGAUUAAAACAAAAAUCUCAGCAACCAAGCAAGGAAACCGAUCAAUCACUGAAUACUCCAAUAUCAUGCAAACUUUGUGGCAGGAAAUGGAUCACCACCAAUGUAUCAAGAUGACCUGUUGUGAGAAUGCAGCUCUUUUAAAAAGGUUUGUUGAUAAAGGCAGGAUUUAUGAAUUUCUUGUUGGUCUAAACAUUGAGUUUGAUGCAGUUAGGGUACAAAUACUUGGGAAAGAGGACUUGCCAUCCCUAAAUGAGACUCUAGCUAUUGUUCAUGCUGAGGACGGAAGGAGAGGAGUCAUGCUUGAGACUCCUAUGGUGGAAAACUUAGCACUAAUGACAAGAAGAAUGCCCAUUCAACAUUCCAGUUCUGAACACCAAGAGGGUGAGGCUAAAAGAACACCAAACGGGUCUCGGUCAAACAAGGAUCUAUUGUAGUGUACAUAUUGUAAGAAGCCUAGAAAUACUAUAGACAAAUGCUGGAAGCUACAUGGAAAACCACAAGCUGAGAAUAAAAGGACUUCAGGUAAGCAGAAGAGGCAGGAGUAGGCCUAUGUGGCAAACACUCAACAGUCUGGAGAAAUGGAUUCUUCAUAAUUACUGACAACUGAGUUCAACAAGGAAGAAAUUACGAAACUGAGACAACUAAUUGGAUCUUUAGAGAAACAACUGGAUCAGUUUGUGAGCUCAGCACUGAAAGAACCGAGUUUGGAGUUUGAGCUAUUACAUCCAGUGGCCAUCAAAAGGCGGGCGAUCCCACAUUUUCCUGCAGCGGGAGGGAGAGCUGUAACACUCGAAGAGGAGGAUCUGGUUCCUGCAGCUC